Molecule: ribosomal RNA, 942 nt
Filed under: uncultured Desulfurella sp.
Lineage: Bacteria; Pseudomonadati; Campylobacterota; Desulfurellia; Desulfurellales; Desulfurellaceae
Also listed under: 1 other name
Description: bacterial SSU rRNA
Rfam family: Bacterial small subunit ribosomal RNA
Source: RNAcentral
GAUUCAUUGGGUUUAAAGGGUGCGCAGGCGGAUUGGUAAGUCAGGGGUGAAAUCCCACAGCUCAACUGUGGAACUGCCUUUGAUACUGUCAGUCUAGAGUAUAGUUGAAGUUGGCGGAAUGUGUCAUGUAGCGGUGAAAUGCUUAGAUAUGACACAGAACACCGAUCGCGAAGGCAGCUAGCUAAGCUAUAACUGACGCUCAUGCACGAAAGCGUGGGGAUCAAACAGGAUUAGAUACCCUGGUAGUCCACGCUGUAAACGAUGAUUACUCGAUGUUGGCGAUACACAGUCAGCGUCUGAGCGAAAGCAAUAAGUAAUCCACCUGGGGAGUACGAUCGCAAGAUUGAAACUCAAAGGAAUUGACGGGGGCCCGCACAAGCGGAGGAGCAUGUGGUUUAAUUCGAUGAUACGCGAGGAACCUUACCUGGGCUCGAACGUAAGAUGACUGUAGGUGAAAGCUUACAUCUCUUCGGAGCAUUUUACGAGGUGCUGCAUGGUUGUCGUCAGCUCGUGCCGUGAGGUGUCGGGUUAAGUCCCAUAACGAGCGCAACCCCUACCUUUAGUUGCCAUCAGGUCAUGCUGGGGACUCUAAAGGAACUGCCUACGCAAGUAGUGAGGAAGGCGGGGAUGACGUCAAAUCAGCACGGCCCUUACGUCCAGGGCUACACACGUGCUACAAUGGCCGAUACAGAGGGCAGCUACCUGGUGACAGGAUGCAAAUCUCCAAAGUCGGUCUCAGUUCGGAUCGGAGUCUGCAACCCGACUCCGUGAAGUUGGAUUCGCUAGUAAUCGCGCAUCAGCCAUGGCGCGGUGAAUACGUUCCCGGGCCUUGUACACACCGCCCGUCAAGCCAUGGAAGCUGGGGGGACCUAAAGUCGAUAACCGCAAGGAGUCGCCUAGGGUAAAACCAGUGACUGGGGCUAAGUCGUAACAAGGUAGCCG